Long non-coding RNA from Nomascus leucogenys (northern white-cheeked gibbon), 102 nucleotides. RefSeq lists it as uncharacterized. Lineage: Eukaryota; Metazoa; Chordata; Mammalia; Primates; Hylobatidae. The transcript has 4 exons. The record is from RefSeq and is a predicted model, not a curated record.
UAGAUAUUUUUUUCUAAAAUAUAAAUAAGCUGCUGCCCUUGGACACCCCAGGCCGCGUACUGCAAGACGGAGUCCUCUACUUCUGGAGGAUUUAACUCCCAA